UCGGGGGUCGUCUAGCGGGCUAGGACGCCAGGUUUUGGUCCUGGAGACGGGGGUUCGAUCCCUCCCCCCCGAG
This 73-nucleotide transfer RNA is filed under the name Thermoleophilaceae bacterium. RNAcentral describes it as "tRNA-Gln". It matches the Rfam family "tRNA". Rfam says of the family: Transfer RNA (tRNA) molecules are approximately 80 nucleotides in length. Their secondary structure includes four short double-helical elements and three loops (D, anti-codon, and T loops). Lineage: Bacteria; Bacillati; Actinomycetota; Thermoleophilia; Thermoleophilales; Thermoleophilaceae. The record is from RNAcentral.